This is a non-coding RNA of Peromyscus maniculatus bairdii (prairie deer mouse), 2752 nucleotides long. Lineage: Eukaryota; Metazoa; Chordata; Mammalia; Rodentia; Cricetidae. The record is from RefSeq and is a predicted model, not a curated record.
CCUGCCAAAACCAAAGGUUUGUUAAAGAGUCACCAACCUUUGUGAUACUGUGACAACAGAACUAUUCUCUUGGAUGCACUUGUUCACUGUGUCUCCUAGGCCAUCCUGUGAGCCAUUCUGUCCACAUGAGCACUUCGGAGAAAAAGCAAUCCCAGUGCAAGUUGGGCACAUGUAACCAGUUUCCAUAAGACUAUCAGGACACGCUCCCUUUGAAUAAAUGGCUCAUUUUGCAUAAAAUUCUCAUGUUUAAAGUUAACCAUUUGAUAGUACUCAUUAACUUAACACAUCCGUCAUUGCUUUUUACCAAGCAGCCCUGGAACAAAGGAUAAAAAUGGCUCCUCUGGUUAAAUGUAAUCAGUAUGCAACCCAGCAUCCCGGAGUAAGAGUUGCCCCAGUUCCCAGAGCUGCCACAGCUUGUCAGAAGGCAGGGAAGAGAACCUCAUUCAUACCAGUGGCUUUGGGCAGAACAUUUUUAAAAAACAAAACCUCCUACCUUUUUGAACUGUAACAUUUUCUGUUUUUAUAAAUACUAGGAUUUAAAGCCAGAAAAAAAAAAAAAAAAACAGAACUGGGCAGAGGAAGGGGAAAUUUUUAUGGCAAAAAGGGAGGAUGCAAACUACAUUUAUAGUUCAUAAAAGUCUGGCUCAUCUUCAGUGGAACUUAAGAACUGAGAUAGAUAAACUACCUAAGUUCUUAAGUGAGACAGUCUGAGGAAGCACCCAUCAAAGGCAGUGGGGACUAUAAAUUCUUCCCACCCUGAAGUCCCACAGCUAUCUAUCUAGUGCACAGAUCAAGCUGAGGAGGGAAUUGGCAGAGCCGGCCACUGGUCUGUAGAAGUCCGCAGCCACUAACCUUGUAGUGUUGUGACCUACUGAAUACUGGCAAGGCCAUUCUGGAAGAAUUAGGAACCUUUACAUAGAGGUGUUUUAGUUCUCAGAGUUGCGGUAAUGUAAAGAAUUUAAACAGGGCCCAGAAAAAAAAGUAGCUAAAAGCAUAAAAAGUUGUAAAAAGCUACAGAAAGCAGACAGUAGAAGGGCCUGCUAGAGGUGUAAGUUAAGGCUUGUGUUAGAGUUUGGGUCGUAUAGUUUUCAGCCUGAGAAAGAAAAGCCUUUAAGAUUCACUGACAGAUGAAAGCUGUGCACCACUAGGCAAAGGCCAGAGUUCUGAUGAUAUCAUUUGAUGGGGCCAGAAUUCAGCUGGAGAGCUUUGAAUAUACAAAAAGGCUUAAUUGCUCCUGAACAGCAGCAGGAAAGCCCGUGUUGUGAAAGGAACCUGGCCAAGGAAUAAAUUGACCUCCUGACUCAUUUUGAGCCUCUCAUAGGGGAUUUUAAUAAUGUGCCAGGCAUAUUAAGCAAUUAUCCCUAAAAAAAUGACUGCAUUUAACCAAGAAAAGCAAUGCUGAUUUAAAAAAAAAAAUCCAAAACUUGCCAUAUUUGAAUAUACUCAGUGAUGUCAUCUACAAAUUAAUUCCUUCCAGAAUUCAAAGGAGUUCUGUUUCUAGCCUCUAAGGUGAGGGGCACUUUAUAGAGCUGGAAAUACUGCUCUUGGUUUUCACAGCAGGAGGCUUUGGAUUGGGACUGCGUUAGGUUCUGCUUUGAGCAGGACAGCUGCAGAAGACAGUCCAACCAGUGCCUCCCACGACUCUUCGCCUACUGAGACAGUUUUCCAGCUCUCAGUGCAGGGUCUCUAAAUGUCCUGCGGCUUCAGUCUUCACUGGGGAGGGUCAGGUCACGGACACAAGAAGGGAGUAGUUAAAACGAGCUGAAGGUAAGGGUAGGACAAAGCUGUACUGAGAAAGCCCAGUGGGGUCUACUCUGCACAGUACCAGAGAGAGGUGUGAACUACUCUCUGCACAGUACCAGAGAGAGGUGUGAACUACUCUCUGCACAGUACCAGAGAGAGGUGUGAACUACUCUCUGCACAGUACCAGAGAGAGGUGUGAACUACUCUGCACAGUACCAGAGAGAGGUGUGUGUGUGUGUGUGAACUGGGUGCUGUUUAUUGAAUGGCUGUCUUGAAGGACUGCUUUGUGUUUCUGCCUCUAACUGCCAUUCCUUUAUCCCUGGACACUAGCAGGUUUUGAUGCUUCCAUCUCUUAGCUUGUUGAGUUCAUCACCUCAACCUUCACAGCUUCCAACAUGCCGAUUGGUGUUACCAGGUCUCAGCAGCACCCCCCCCCCAUCCUCAAACAGAAGUGCAAAGGAGGAUGAGAAUUAGGUAUCAGUAAAAGAUGAAUCACAUAGCUGAAGAUCUAAAGUAUUUCUAUGCCAACUAAGAAAAAUACUGGUCACAGAUAUUUCUUGGGGUUUGGAGGUUUCUCCAGGACUAAGGACUUGAAGACAAUGCUACUGUCCUUUGCCAAAUUCUGUAGCCAGAUCACUGCUGCUAUAAUUAUUGUCAACUGGAUCAGAAGAUUUCUGGCAGAUCUAAUAAAGUCAGCCUGGACAUCCGACCCCUGUUUAUUCCCAGAAAGUCAUCAACUGAAAGCUGCAGUGUAGUCUUGGUGCCAAGCCCCAGCUUAAAGCCUGACUGAUUACAGUCCAAGAAACAGGAGAGAUCUUAGGAGAUGUUGUGGUUGGCUGCUUUCCAUCUGCUCAGAUAAUUCUACCCAAAUAAUGUGAGGGAGACAAGAUCCUGUAUCGGGAAGAAUCAUGAAAGAAGGAACUGGGCAGGUCCUGCUGGGGGUAGUUCUGUAACCUUGAUUGUCAGUCUUCAGUGCCCAGUAAGGACCACCCUAUCUCAUAUGGGAAAA